RNAcentral lists this ribosomal RNA (508 nucleotides) under Glomus sp. MO-G10. RNAcentral describes it as "SSU rRNA". It matches the Rfam family "Eukaryotic small subunit ribosomal RNA", at positions 570 to 1078 of the family's 1831-position model. The record is from RNAcentral. Lineage: Eukaryota; Fungi; Glomeromycota; Glomeromycetes; Glomerales; Glomeraceae.
GCAGCCGCGGUAAUUCCAGCUCCAAUAGCGUAUAUUAAAGUUGUUGCAGUUAAAAAGCUCGUAGUUGAAUUUCGGGAUUAAUGUUUCGGUCAUGCCGUUGGUAUGUACUGAUAUUAUUGAUUUCUCACCUUCUAAAGAACCGUAAUGCCAUUAAUUUGGUGUCACGGGGAAUUAGGACUGUUACCUUGAAAAAAUUAGAGUGUUUAAAGCAGGCUCACGCUUGAAUACAUUAGCAUGGAAUAAUGAAAUAGGACAUCCGAUUCUAUUUUGUUGGUUUCUAGGAUCGAUGUAAUGAUUAAUAGGGAUAGUUGGGGGCAUUAGUAUUCAAUUGUCAGAGGUGAAAUUCUUGGAUUUAUUGAAGACUAACUACUGCGAAAGCAUUUGCCAAGGAUGUUUUCAUUAAUCAAGAACGAAAGUUAGGGGAUCGAAGACGAUCAGAUACCGUCGUAGUCUUAACCAUAAACUAUGCCGACUAGGGAUCGGAUGAUGUUAAUUUUUUAAUGACUCA